RNAcentral lists this ribosomal RNA (440 nucleotides) under uncultured bacterium. RNAcentral describes it as "partial 16S ribosomal RNA". It matches the Rfam family "Bacterial small subunit ribosomal RNA", at positions 338 to 795 of the family's 1533-position model. The record is from RNAcentral.
CCUACGGGAGGCUGCAGUGGGGAAUAUUGCACAAUGGGGGGAACCCUGAUGCAGCGACGCCGCGUGAGUGAAGAAGUAUUUCGGUAUGUAAAGCUCUAUCAGCAGGGAAGAAAAUGACGGUACCUGACUAAGAAGCCCCGGACAACUACGUGCCAGCAGCCGAGGCAAGACGAAGGGGGCAAGCGUGAUCCGGAUUGACUGGGGGUAAAGGGAGCGUAGACGGUUAUGCAAGUCUGAAGUGAAAGCCCGGGGCCCAACCCCGGGACUGCUUUGGAAACUGUGUGACUGGAGUACAGGAGGGGCAGGCGGAAUUCCUGGUGUAGCGGUGAAAUGCGUAGAUAUCAGGAGGAACACCGGCGGCGAAGGCGGCCUGCUGGACUGAAACUGACGUUGAGGCUCGAAAGCGUGGGGAGCAAACAGGAUUAGAUACCCGUGUAGUC